This is a long non-coding RNA of Triticum dicoccoides, 2194 nucleotides long. RefSeq lists it as uncharacterized. The transcript has 3 exons. NCBI's taxonomy places the organism in Eukaryota, Viridiplantae, Streptophyta, Magnoliopsida, Poales, Poaceae. The record is from RefSeq and is a predicted model, not a curated record.
CCUCCAAAACACAUUCCAACGGAUAGCAGUAAAAAAUUGCCCCACACUUAUGUCCUCAGGCGUCCCAGCGAAGCAGAAUGAGAAAACGGUGGGGAAAGGGAGAGAUUAGAGCCGGCUCCGAGCAGCCGAGCGGCGCCGCCGUGGAGGAGAGGCCGCGCCGCACAGCCGUGAGGACCAGAGAAGAGUACACCACCGGGCCGGAACCUGCUGCCGUGAACCGCCGCGGCGGCACGGAAGGAGCGCCGCUACGGAUUGGGGAGGAGCGCCGUUGCAGGCCUAGGGAGAGCGCCGCCCGGACCAAGCUCCCUGCUCGACCGAUCAAGGACUCUCGAUUCCGGCCGCCUGCAGCACAUCAGGCCAUCAGCUAACAGCACUGAGCAAAGCUAGCGGUAUGCAAAAAACAGAGAGGCCGUUGAUUUGCUUAUAUCUGGUUCUGCUAUUAAGUUACUGAAGCAAGACACCUUUUUCCUAUUGUUCUGGCGAAUUCGUCUCAGUUCAUUCAUCCUCUGGUCAUCUGAUAUCACAACAGAUCUCAAGUCUCCUUUUAUGCCACUGUGGGGCUCAUGUGCUGCUGCUGCUGCUGAUAUUUUGUCUUGACGCCCAUCUUUGUUUAAUGUACUCCAAUUACUGUCAAUGUGGUUUCUCUUUCACACGCAUUAGUUCACAUGACAGUUUGCCAGGUGAAACUUUAUUAUUCUGUGACUGCAUACUUAUAAUUUUUAAAAAUUAGACACAUCUCUGAAGUGUGUAUAGUUAAAAAACCAAUCACCUCUUUAUCUGGCAUGUUCUGCUUCUUCAUUAACAUGGUGUCCACCUCAUGAUCCAUCAAUUCCUGUGCAACAUAUGUAAGAUGAGUUGGUUAAGGAAUUCUAGAGAUGGUACUUCAUAUUUUUCAAAAAAGGUUAAUGCACCUUUACCCCCUCGGCUUUAUCGUUCAAGUAGACCAUCUCAAGGCCAUCAUCAGGCAAAAAUGUUCUUUUUACUGCAUAGUUUUGUUUGCGACAGGUCAGAUUAUAUCAUUGAAAUUGAAUCAAAAUAUAAGUUUUUUCCACAUAAUUUUUUAGUAAUCUUUGGUGCUUCUUAUGAUUUCCCAUCUAGUGAGUUCAGCAAGUUAGAUGUAGAUGUAUAAAGCAAGUUAUUCUUCUCUCCAUGGGCUUCAUUUUGUUAGUUGUCCAAUGACAUGUAUAUUUGGAGAUUAUUGAUAUAACAAUUAGAUAUAUCAAUUAUAUGGAAGUCGUAAUUACAACUAUCAACAUACCUGAGCAUUGUGUAUCUUUUUCUGUCCUAUCUUGUAGUGUGUCCAUGGUAGCAAACUCGCGGCAAUAAUUCGGAAAAACUUUCAAAGAUCCUUUUAUCUUUUACCUGUGUAUUGUAUGCAAAAAAUAUUUUAAUUUCAUUUUCUCACUGGCCUAUAUUUUGUAAUUCCAACUCAACAUUGUUGAAUGCAUAAAUAGAUUUCUUAUUGAUCUUUGAUCUAAACAUGUCUAUUAGAUUCUUCCAAAUAGUAACAUGGAUUGUUUCACCCUGUCAAAACAAUCAAAUAUGGUUAGUAACUGCAUCUUAACUUGAAAAAACUGCAAUUAAAUAUAUAGAAACAGACCUGCUCAUCCAUCAGUAUCAUAUCUAGGCUAGUUAGCUCAUGGGUCGUAGGAUUGACUGAAUCCCACACUCAUUGCGUUCACUUGAAUGUUCUAGUUAUGUCCCCUCAUAGUUAAGUCGUUGAACUUCUUGUAUGUGAUAGUGUUAUGUCCUCAAAAUUAAUAGAAAACAAUAUGUAACUAAUACAGGAUUUAUGAAGAUUCUAGGCAGAAAAAGUAAGCUUGCUAAAUAACAAUCACCAAAUCUGAUGAUUCAGGCGAGAAGUGCUUUGGAGUGAGUUCUUCCAACGUUGACUGGAGCAAUUGGGCGUGGCUUUGUUGGGCGUCGGGCGUGCUUUGGCAUGACUUCGUUGGACGUCGAGUGAAGCGGCUGGGCAUGGAUUUUCAUGGUAGCUCUGUCGACUUCAAUAUGUUCACCUCGUGGUGGUUGUCGACUUCAAAUUAAUUGGUGUGUCAUUGUGCGACUGGUUGUACUUGCUUAUAUGGGUUGAGGUGGCUGGGUUUGAGGUGGCCGAGAUGUCUGGAAAUCUGAUUGUGACCUUGUCCUAUAUUUCUUUUUGGGAAUUUUCAACAUUAAUUGCUUUUUUAAUUGCUUA